GUGGACACGUAGAAAGAAGCAUGUAAAUAUUUGAUUUCUUUGAGAAUUCAUUCUAGUUUUAGAGAACUCAUAUGCUGAUACUUAAUUCUUAGAACAAGAAACGUUAUUUCUUUUUUUGGCAAUCAUGGCAGCGUUACUUUUUCUCUUUAAUGAGCAAAAAUAUAAUUCCCUUAAGAAUAACGUACGAGCUUAAGUCUUCACUUCGAUAUCGUUGUUCCGUUUUGUGGUGUUGUUAAAUCCGGGCUUUCUUUGAAGUAAAGUAAGGUGGAAGAAGAUUAUUUCUUGGAAUAUAAGACUCGCAGGUUCCAGAAAUGAGACAUGGGAUGACUAAGUAAGCGACGAGGUACAGAUACUCGACUUGGUGAUCCUCCAGCUUAGGACUUAUACUCAGUUGUCUUGGAGAGCUCCAUUGUUCCGGAGCCUAGACUUUUGGUACAGAUUCUUUUUGAUGUAUAUAUAUGUUUACCAGGGGUACGGCGGGGCCCUGUCCCGUCAUAUUUCACUAUCGAUACUCUUUGAGGUCCGUAGACAUAUGUGUGGGUUGUGUAUAAGUUUUGCUCAGCUGUGUCUGUAUGGUUUGUUAUGGAUAUUCCCUCUUGUAAUGGCAGUUUUGUCGGCUUGCGUAUCGUAUUAUGUUUUGAUUAGCAGUGACUCCUCAGGAGACAGGU
This is a long non-coding RNA of Lycium barbarum (goji berry), 668 nucleotides long. RefSeq lists it as uncharacterized. The record is from RefSeq and is a predicted model, not a curated record. The transcript has 3 exons. NCBI's taxonomy places the organism in Eukaryota, Viridiplantae, Streptophyta, Magnoliopsida, Solanales, Solanaceae.